Molecule: ribosomal RNA, 500 nt
Filed under: uncultured Sphingobacteriales bacterium
Lineage: Bacteria; Pseudomonadati; Bacteroidota; Sphingobacteriia; Sphingobacteriales
Description: bacterial SSU rRNA
Rfam family: Bacterial small subunit ribosomal RNA
Source: RNAcentral
CCUUGCCAGCCCGCUCAAGAAACUUAAAGGAAUUGACGGGGGCCCGCACAAGCGGUGAGCAUGUGGUUUAAUUCGAUGAUACGCGAGGAACCUUACCUGGGCUCAAAUGUAUGUUGACGUAUUCUGAAAGGGAUACUUCUUCGGACAAUAUACAAGGUGCUGCAUGGUUGUCGUCAGCUCGUGCCGUGAGGUGUCGGGUUAAGUCCCAUAACGAGCGCAACCCCUAUCAUUAGUUGCCAUCAGGUCAAGCUGGGGACUCUAAUGAAACUGCCUACGCAAGUAGUGAGGAAGGUGGGGAUGACGUCAAAUCAGCACGGCCCUUACGUCCAGGGCUACACACGUGCUACAAUGGCCGGUACAAAGGGCAGCUACCUGGUGACAGGAUGCUAAUCUCAAAAGCCGGUCUCAGUUCGGAUCGGAGUCUGCAACCCGACUCCGUGAAGCUGGAAUCGCUAGUAAUCGCGCAUCAGCCAUGGCGCGGUGAAUACGUUCCGGGCCUU